RNAcentral lists this ribosomal RNA (253 nucleotides) under uncultured bacterium. RNAcentral's name for it is "partial 16S ribosomal RNA". It matches the Rfam family "Bacterial small subunit ribosomal RNA", at positions 524 to 776 of the family's 1533-position model. The record is from RNAcentral.
UACGGGGGGUGCAAGCGUUAUCCGGAUUCACUGGGCUUAAAGGGUGUGUAGGCGGAUAUUUAAGUCCGAUGUGAAAUCUCUGAGCUCAACUCAGAAACUGCCUUGGAUACUAUUUAUCUUGAAUAUCGUUGAGGUAGGCGGAAUAUGUCAUGUAGCGGUGAAAUGCUUAGAUAUGACAUAGAACACCGAUUGCGAAGGCAGCUUGCUAAACGAUUAUUGACGCUGAGGCACGAAAGCGUGGGGAUCAAACGGG